Anopheles cruzii is the source of this 886-nucleotide long non-coding RNA. RefSeq lists it as uncharacterized. NCBI's taxonomy places the organism in Eukaryota, Metazoa, Arthropoda, Insecta, Diptera, Culicidae. The transcript has 3 exons. The record is from RefSeq and is a predicted model, not a curated record.
GCGAAAAUGACACUUUCAAUGCUGUGACGACGGGCGAUCGCCGAUUAUUCGAGGGCAAAUGCGGUUGCUGUGCGCUGUCCUGCUGCCUGCAGAUUUGCCCAUCCGGCUACUGAUCCCCUAAUACGCCGUUUUCCUAGCUGCUCACGUUCGCUGCGGGACCCGUAAACGGGAGGAAGGCGAACGGAGAGAGCGCAAAGAACCGGACACUGUCCGGCGGGAGAGCGACAGUUGUUGAGCUGUGCAUGCUGCUACGGCGAGCAAAGGCUCAUCCGACGGAAUGGUCGCCGGCCGGAAUGUUUCAUAUCGUUCAUGUUCGAAAAGGAAAGAAGGUGUAGCCGGAGAUUGAGCGGCGCGCGCGCGCUGUGUUGGUGUCCGUCCGUCCUGUCCCGUGAUCGACUUGCUCCACUCGCAUGCAUGCGUGCCUGGCCGCGCCUGGGGUUCCCGUGGAAGCGAGAGCUUCUUCCAGGGAGCAAUGCGGUGACGAUGAUCAUCCCGAUGCCCAGCUUUGGCAGCAGCGACAUUUUGUUUACAACCAUGCUAUGCUGCUGCUGCUGCUGUUUCUGCUGCGAUCGUAUGUUGCUGGUAACGUUGCAGCUGCUACUGCUGACCGCGACCGUCAUCUGCUGACUCUGACUCUCUGUCUGUGUGUGUUUGCUGUCUGGGAGAUGCUGACGGCGGGCGGCUGAGGGAGAUUGAACGAGGGCUGAGAGGAAGAUACAGAAUGGGCGAGGCGAGGCGAGGCGAGCGGUGGUUGCAGUCGAUCCCCCAUGUGUCCGGCUUCGUCGGUGGCGACGACAUUUGGCAGAGUUUGUGUGUUUUUCUUCUCUUUCUUCUUUUCUUCCAGCUGGAGUAGCAAUUGCAAAUUCUCUCUAUAGUUCUCCAUUUA